UACGUAGGGGGCCAGCGUUGUCCGGAUUUACUGGGCGUAAAGCGCGCGUAGGCGGAAGCUUAAGUCUGGCCUGAAAGCCCCCGGCUCAACCGGGGAGGGCGGCUGGAAACUGGGCUUCUUGAGGGCGAGAGAGGGGUGUGGAAUUCCUGGUGUAGCGGUGAAAUGCGUAGAGAUCAGGAGGAACACCCGUGGCGAAGGCGGCACCCUGGCUCGACCCUGACGCUGAGGCGCGAAAGCGUGGGGAGCGAACGGGAUUAGAUACCCCC
This 266-nucleotide ribosomal RNA is filed under the name uncultured bacterium. RNAcentral describes it as "partial 16S ribosomal RNA". It matches the Rfam family "Bacterial small subunit ribosomal RNA", at positions 524 to 789 of the family's 1533-position model. The record is from RNAcentral.